RNAcentral lists this ribosomal RNA (499 nucleotides) under uncultured bacterium. RNAcentral's name for it is "partial 16S ribosomal RNA". It matches the Rfam family "Bacterial small subunit ribosomal RNA", at positions 28 to 507 of the family's 1533-position model. The record is from RNAcentral.
GACGAACGCUGGCGGCGUGCCUAAUACAUGCAAGUCGAGCGAAGUUUUUCUGGUGCUUGCACUAGAACAACUUAGCGGCGAACGGGUGAGUAACAAGUAAAGAACCUGCCUCAUAGACUGGGACAAAUAUUGGAAACGAUAGCUAAUACCGGAUAACAGUAUUUCUCGCAUGAGAGAUAUUUAAAAGUUGGUUAUGCUAACACUAUGAGAUGGCUUUGCGGUGCAUUGGCUAGUUGGUGGGGUAAAGCCUCACCAAGUCGAGGAUUCAUAGCCGACCGGAGAGGCGGAUCGGCCACACUGGAGCUGAGACGCGGCCCUGAGUCCUGAGGGAGGCAGCAGAAGGGAAUGUUCCGCAAUGGGCGAAAGCCUGGCGGAGCGGCGCCGCGUGAGUGAAGAAGGAUUUCGGUUCGGAAAGCUCUGUUGUUAGGGAAGAAUGGAUAUGUAGUAACAAGACGUGUAAGAGACGGUACCUAGCCAGAAAGCCACGGCUAACUACGUG